Molecule: non-coding RNA, 344 nt
Organism: Miniopterus natalensis
Lineage: Eukaryota; Metazoa; Chordata; Mammalia; Chiroptera; Miniopteridae
Source: RefSeq, a predicted model, not a curated record
ACGGACAUGGCACCAAGUCCCUCGUGUUACAGACUGAGUCCGAGAGCAGAGACCUCGUCUCACAGCUCGCCGGAGCCCACUUCUGGCUUGGCUCCUGCCCUCGUGUUUCCCACGCCAGCAAUCUCGGGGGCAUCUUCGCCUUGCCCACGUAUCCUGAAGGUGUAAACAGCUGAGAGCCUCUUGGGAAGCAAAGAUACCACCUAUAUUUUUGUCACCUUCGUUUCCCAUGGGGAACAAGACCAAAGACUCGACGUCUGUCCCAGUUACCUGAGACCAGGGCCCGAGGCUCCACUCGGGAGGGCAGGCGUGGCUGUUGCAGACUUGAACUUGAGUGGGCGUGCUCA